AGUGAGCUGGGUUCUACGUGUUUGAGAGUGUGAGUUGGAAGCAGACGUUGAAAGAUGCCGUAUUUAUAGCACGAGCCCAAUCAAUCAUGCGUGCUUUCACGUCGAUAUGCCUAUGUGGAGGUGAUAUUAUCAUCAUCAUCAUCAUCAUGAGGACUCCCUAUCGUGACGUUACCCACAGUAUCUGACUGUAUGCAGCGCUCCAUAGAGCGCAUGGCUGCGAGCACAUGGAAAUGAGGUCGAGAUAUGUGUUUGAAAGACACGCACCUAUCCGAAAUGGAAUAUAACUAAUAAUGCACUAAACGGAGUCAGUGAACGGGAUGGCUGUUGACGACCCUCCCCUUUCUGCUAUACUCAGCUGUCAAUCAACCAGGAUGAGCAGAUCUCUAAUCAAGACAUGGACCUGGAUGCAAAGACUGAAAAGAUAUUUGGUGCUCCCCAGACCAAUGUUUCGAGGCAGGGAUGAACUACGCUGUUCAUCUGAGCUUGCCCCUCUACUCUGCACUCAGCGAUGUCCAGUACCCAUACACACUCUCGUCCAAGGUGGCUUAGCAG
This is a long non-coding RNA of Salvelinus sp. IW2-2015, 552 nucleotides long. RefSeq lists it as uncharacterized. Lineage: Eukaryota; Metazoa; Chordata; Actinopteri; Salmoniformes; Salmonidae. The record is from RefSeq and is a predicted model, not a curated record.